CCUAGAAGAAAAGUUGAAGGGAAAAAGGAAAAAGCUUAAUAUUCAAGAUAUACCUAAGGCAAAAAGACAGAUUGCUGUGCUGGGAAGGCUAGCUAAAACUGCAGCUAACUUGGCAAAGAGGCACCUUUUAACGUGGUGAUUCUCUUUAUUUAGUCGGGGGAGAGUAACUGGCCCUAUCCAUCCCCAGCAGAGUACCUCCAGUGACUGUUGCUGGUGUCUAUCUAAAGUUUCUUUUUAGAUUGUGAGCCCUUUGGGGACAGGGAUCCAUCUUAUUUAUUUAUUAUUUCUCUGUGUAAACUGCCCUGAGCGAUUUUUUGGAAGGGCGGUAUAGAAAUCGAAUAAAUAAUAAAAAGUUAUAAAUAAAGGCAUGUUGUCCUGAAAAGGCUUGUCAAAAUUACAUAACUAUAGUGAAUGAUGAAAGACUGAAUAAGAGUUGCCAAACAACUGAUCAGAGUGCCCUGCUAGUAAGCUGAGCAAUGUGCAGGGGCUCCAAGGUUAUAUACAGUCACGCUUUUACUAGGAAGCACUGAAUAGGACAGACAGCUCCUUUUUGCAUUUUCAGGUGUAGCCCCUCAUAAAUGCAGAGGAAAAACAAGCAUAACAGAGUACAGUAAUGUAUCACUGAAAAACAAGCAGUGAACAAGCACUGAUGAUCAAUACAGGGAGGGAUGGGGGGAAUUUCUAAAGUGGAAACUAUCAAGACCAUAGUGAAAAAAGAAGCCAUUAACACAUGCAUGGAAUAUUACAUGGAGGGAAAGGAAGAGGUCAGACAGAAGUACCAAUGAGUUCUGGUUAAGAUAAUUAACUUUGUUGUAUUUUUAAAUAAGAUAUCACACAAUGAGCAAUUUCUACUGUUGAUGAAUGCUUUGUCCUCUAUUUUGCAACCCCUUGAGCACAGACUGGGUUCCUGUGCUUUAAAUACAAGCAUACCAUUGUAAAUAGUUUAGACAGCAACAGCACAGUUCUAAAAGCUUCAUUCUAGAAGCAAUAGCCUAUGCUAAACCAGAACUAUGAAAGAUUAAUGUGUGGGGAGGGGGUGCAUCACAUUGUCAAAUUAGGGCACUAAAUUCUGAGGCACUUGUGGGGCUAAUCAAUGUGUUGAAAGAUUAGACCUCUUGAAAUAAGUUAGUCUGUAUGAUUCUGGUUGCAUCAUUCACCCAAGUUAAUAGUUCAAACAAGGCCCCUGACCUUAACUCUACCCCUGCUUAAGUCAUCACUGCGGUGGAGCUCUGAGCUGUUCCAGGAUUUGCAUUUGCAACACGAGACUGUGAGGCAAAAGGGGGGAAAAACACACAAGAUGAAAAAUACAGGAGACUAAGUGGACAGGAUAUGAAGAAGAGACCAUGACGAUGAUGGCACAUUCUCAUAGAAUGUUGACGACGAUGCUGUUUAGCCUCAUUGUGGAGACACACCUGAACAGACAUGACAAGAGGCACAAGAGACAAGCACCGCCGCCGCUGCGGCCACCCCAAUGAGACUCUACCCCAUGUGCUGUGCUGCUGCCCACCCCACUCAGGUGUUUGGCAGCACCAGCACAACGCAUUGCUGUACCACCUGGCCAAGGCCAUCCCCACCUCCAAAGGCACACUUUCUGCCAGCCGAGCUGUGCCCGGGACAGGCAGCCAGCUGCGGCCUGACAUUGUGGUUGUGGACAGGCUGACGUGGACAGGCAGCCAGUUGCGGCCUGACAUUGUGACACUGUGGUCCACAAUGAGGAGAAGAAGAAAAUCAUCAUGGUUGAUGUCACCCCUUUGAAAACCGGAAAGCAGCCAUGACAGAGGCCAGAGAGCAGAAGCACGAGAAGUGUGCCCCACUCACACAGGCACUCAGGGAGCGAGGCUAUGAGGUCUCCGUCCACGCUGUGCUGGUCGGGGCCCUGGGACCCCGCCAACGAGCCAGUACUGAGAGCCUGCAGUGCGGGCAAGCGCUACGCCACACCAUCCGGUGGUCCCAAGACAUCUACAUAGAACACAUCUCGGGACAUCGCCAGUACCAGGAGCCAGCUCGCCCCCCUAACGUCCCAGGGGGGAGCCGGACCAGCCCGCUCCCCUAACCCAAGAGGGGAGGGGCCACUGAGUGCUCAAAGGAAUGGCUUGCCCUCCUAAACCCAGAGGAGGGGAGCCACCCACGGCUUACCCCGCUACGCCCACAGGGGGCAAGCCAAGCCACCACAUCCCACAGUGGAACGGCUCAUCCUCCUAAAACCCAGAGGAGGGGAGCCACCCAUGGCUUGCCCCGCUAUGCCCACAGGGGGCAAGCCAAGCCACCACAUCCCACGGGGAAACAGCUCGCCCUCCUAAAACCCAGAGGAGGGGAGCCACCAACAGCUUGCCCUGCUACGCCUACGGGGGCAAGCCACCACACACUCCACCCUACCCUGGUAGGGAGGAGCUCCACCAGAGCUGCGGACAAGCCCAGUGAGGUUUCUUUUUCCCCUGCAGGAGGAUGCCAGACCAUCUGGAAACCCCCAGAGGACACCCCGGACGAUGUGCCACCUCCCACCCACAAGUUGAGACCGGGUUCCCCCGCUCUCCUGGCUUGGACUCUACCCUGGACUCUGUCCAGAUUCACAUACACGUGGAACCGAAGGAGGACUUACAUACAUUGGCGAUGCCUUGCAGCUCGCAACUAACUCAGAUGGACACUUAUCUUCUUAUGGCUGUCUUGACCUGCAUGUAUGUAUGUAUGUAACCUCCCGCCUCGGGAAUGUGAUCUAUAGCAUAUCUGCAUGCUAAAUGGACCAUGCCAGCACAGCGGCUGACCACGCCAGGAACUCCUGCUGACAACACCCCUGGAGGACCCCCUGGACCUGGAGAAGACCCUCCGCCGUCAAGGACCCCACGCCCAGAGGCUGCAAUUGGCAGAAGAAGACUGGCAUGGCCCUGCCGGCCACACACAAGGUGAGGUUGGGAUCUGUCCCUCCCUUGGACCUUUUGGAUAUUCCUCUCACUGAACUCUUUUAAUCGGACUCUACCCAAACCCAUAGGAACUUGCGUACAGUGCUAUAUUCUCUCUACCAUUGCAACCACACAUGUAUUAGUACGCGGCCGUGUUUUAUCGGGAAAUUCUGUUCACUGUUCCUUUUGUAAACCAUAUGUUAAAUAUUCUCUAAUAAAAGUCAAUCUGUUCUUAACUCUCA
Molecule: long non-coding RNA, 3139 nt
Organism: Hemicordylus capensis (graceful crag lizard)
Lineage: Eukaryota; Metazoa; Chordata; Lepidosauria; Squamata; Cordylidae
Exons: 2
Source: RefSeq, a predicted model, not a curated record